This 398-nucleotide ribosomal RNA is filed under the name uncultured bacterium. RNAcentral's name for it is "partial 16S ribosomal RNA". It matches the Rfam family "Bacterial small subunit ribosomal RNA", at positions 523 to 918 of the family's 1533-position model. The record is from RNAcentral.
AUACGUAGGGUGCGAGCGUUGUCCGGAAUUACUGGGCGUAAAGAGCUCGUAGGUGGUUUGUCGCGUCGUCUGUGAAAUUCCGGGGCUUAACUCCGGGCGUGCAGGCGAUACGGGCAUAACUUGAGUACUGUAGGGGAGACUGGAAUUCCUCGUGUAGCGGUGAAAUGCGCAGAUAUCAGGAGGAACACCGGUGGCGAAGGCGGGUCUCUGGGCAGUACCGGACGCUGAGGAGCGAAAGCAGGGGUAGCGAACAGGAUUGAAUCCCCUGGUAGUCCAUGCCGUAAACGGUGGGCGCUAGGUGUAGGGGUCUUCCACGACUUCUGUGCCGUAGCUAACGCAUUAAGCGCCCCGCCUGGGGAGUACGGCCGCAAGGCUAAAACUCAAAUGAAUUGACGGGG